CAAUAGCGUAUAUUAAAGUUGUUGCGGUUAAAAGCUCGUAGUUGGAUUUCUGCCGAGGAUGACCGGUCCGCCCUCUGGGUGAGUAUCUGGCUCAGCCUUGGCAUCUUCUUGAAGAACGUUACUGCACUUGACUGUGUGGUGCGGUACUCAGGACAUUUACUUUGAGGAAAUUAGAGUGUUUCAAGCAAGCGCACGCCUUGAAUACAUUAGCAUGGAAUAAUGCGACAGGACCUCGGUCCAUUUUGUUGGUUUCUUGGGUUGAGGUAAUGAUUAACAGGGAUGGUUGGGGGCGAUUCGUAUUUAACUGUCAGAGGUGAAAUUCUUGGAUUUGUUAAAGACGAACUACUGCGAAAGCAUUUGCCAAGGAUGUUUUCAUUGAUCAAGAACGAAAGUUAGGGGAUCGAAGACGAUUAGAUACCAU
This 421-nucleotide ribosomal RNA is filed under the name uncultured eukaryote. Its description in RNAcentral is "SSU rRNA". It matches the Rfam family "Eukaryotic small subunit ribosomal RNA", at positions 592 to 1018 of the family's 1831-position model. The record is from RNAcentral.